CUACAUCCGUUGGGGUGCCCGCAAGACCGGGCUGAGAGGCAUCGCGCCAACCCAUCGAACCUGAUCCGGCUGAUACCGGCGUAGGGAACGGACCUCAGCACGCC
RNAcentral lists this non-coding RNA (104 nucleotides) under Roseovarius azorensis. RNAcentral describes it as "TPP sequence". It matches the Rfam family "TPP riboswitch aptamer (THI element)". From Rfam's summary of the family: Vitamin B(1) in its active form thiamin pyrophosphate (TPP) is an essential coenzyme that is synthesised by coupling of pyrimidine and thiazole moieties in bacteria. The previously detected thiamin-regulatory element, thi box was extended, resulting in a new, highly conserved RNA secondary structure, the THI element, which is widely distributed in eubacteria and also occurs in some archaea. The record is from Rfam by way of RNAcentral. Lineage: Bacteria; Pseudomonadati; Pseudomonadota; Alphaproteobacteria; Rhodobacterales; Roseobacteraceae.